AGAUGAAGAACGUAGCGAAAUGCGAUAAGUAAUGUGAAUUGCAGAAUUCAGUGAAUCAUCGAAUCUUUGAACGCACAUUGCGCCCGGCAGCAAUCUGCCGGGCAUGCCUGUCCGAGCGUCAUUUCUCCCCUCGAGCAGCGGUUCCCAGUCCUCCGGGGCUGGGGCCGCGGCCCGGUGUUGGGGUCCUGCGGCCUGGCCGCAGUCCCCGAAAUGAAGUGGCGGUCCCGCCGCGGCGCCCCCUGCGUAGUAGUCUACACCUCGCAUCGGGUCCCGGCGAAGGCCAGCCGUCGAACCUAACUCUUGAUGGUUUGACCUCGGAUCAGGUAGGGUUACCCGCUGAACUUAAGCAUACCAAUAAGCGGAGGA
RNAcentral lists this unclassified non-coding RNA (366 nucleotides) under soil metagenome. RNAcentral describes it as "partial contains 5.8S ribosomal RNA, internal transcribed spacer 2, and large subunit ribosomal RNA". The stretch from base 2 to 121 matches the Rfam family "5.8S ribosomal RNA", at positions 35 to 154 of the family's 154-position model. The record is from RNAcentral.